Molecule: RNA transcript, 797 nt
Organism: Macaca mulatta (Rhesus monkey)
Lineage: Eukaryota; Metazoa; Chordata; Mammalia; Primates; Cercopithecidae
Gene name: DNA-directed RNA polymerase III subunit RPC10 pseudogene
Source: RefSeq, a predicted model, not a curated record
UAAUUUAUUGGAUAGGCUGAGCGGCAGUGGGAGCUGCCGGUGGUUGGCGCCUGCGGAGUUCCAGACCAUGCUGCUGUUCUGCCCCGGCUGCGGGAACGGGCUGAUCGUGGAGGAGGGACAACGCUGCCACCGCUUCGCCUGCAACAGGUGCCCCUACGUGCACAACAUCACCCGCAAGGUAACAAUCGGAAGUACCCAAAACUGAAAGAAGUGGAUGAUGUGCUUUGUGGAGCAGCUGCCUGCGAGAAUGUUGACUCUACUGCAGAGCCAUGUCCCAAAUGCGAACAUCCUCGUGCUUACUUCAUGGAGCUUCAGACCCGCUCUGCAGAUGAGCCGAUGACCACCUUCUACAAGUGCUGCAGUGCUCGGCGUGGACACCGCUGGAGGGAUUAGGGCCAGGAUGGCCCAGCUGCCUUAGCGUAUGCUUACCUUGUCCCUCGGCGUAGAUGCUUAGCUGGCAGUAUGAAUCGUGUGUCCUGAGGGUCUUUGCUGGUGUGGUGGAAAGAUAAACCUUUUGAGGUGAAGAGCUGGGGGGUCAGGAUAUGUGAUCUAUCUGCCAGUCAGAGUGGAUGAAGUCACGAAUAUCUGGGAGUUUUUCUGUGUGGGGAGGAGACAGAGACCCAUAACUAAAUACGCUCUGUUUAAAGUCCUGUUCUUUCAUCUUCCAUAUUUAUUGGCAGUUGACAUUCCCUUACUCCCAAUCAACACUCUUAAACAUUUGUACUGUUUGCAAAACUUAACCCUAAAUAUUUAACUGUUACUUGUAAACUUGUGUAAUUCAUUAUUUAUUUUAAUCA